RNAcentral lists this long non-coding RNA (1145 nucleotides) under Ananas comosus (pineapple). Its description in RNAcentral is "long non-coding RNA (ACOM_LNC004752)". Lineage: Eukaryota; Viridiplantae; Streptophyta; Magnoliopsida; Poales; Bromeliaceae. The record is from RNAcentral.
CAAUUCUUUCGCAACGUAAUAUCCGUGAAUUUUUCAAAUAUCUCAUUAAUCCACCUACCAUACACAUCCACCACCUAUAUAAUAUCCAGUUAACCUUUCUCAUACAUAAUAUGACAUAUCAUAAUUUUGAAUUAAAUAUAUCAUCGUAUUUGAAUUUAAAUAUUAAAGUGAUUCAAAAUUAAAUUUUAAAUCAAAUAUGAAUUUUAUUGCGAAAAUACCUUUAUCUUUUUAACUAAUUUUUUCAUGUCCAAAAAUUUUGAACCAUUCAUCUCAAAUAAUCCAUUAAAUUUUAACGCAUUUGAAUUUAAAUCUUAAAAUAGAUCAAAAUUAAAUUUUGAAUUUUGAAUUUGAUUUAACUUGAUUUUUAAUAAUAUAGUAAAUAGAAUAGAGUUUGACACGUGGCAAGUAUAUAGAAAGCCAUGUGUCAAAUUCUCACAAAGGGUUCAUAAAGGGUUCUACUUUAGUAUAUAGUAAUAGAUAGAUAGAUAGAUAGAUAUCCACACCUGCCAAUAUCCGUGAAUUUUGCAAUUCUCAUUUUCUCAAUAUCUUAUUAAUCCACCUACCAUUUGAAUUUAAGAAUAUAGUUUUUCUUUCUCACGCGUAAUAUCCGCACCUGCCAAUUCUUUCGCAACGUAAUAUCCGUGAAUUUUGAAAUAUCUCAUAGAAUAGUAAAUAGAAUAGAUAUGUAAUUUAGAAAAUCUAUAUUUAUAUUUGAGCUUGACACGUGGCAAGCAUAUAGAAAGCCACGUGUCAGUUUCUCACAUAGGGUUUCAUAAAGGGUUCUACUUUAGUAUAUAGUAAUAGAUAGAUUUAAAUUUUGAAUUUGAUUUAAUUUGAUUUUUAAUAAUAUAAUAAAUAGAAUAGAGUUUGACACGUGGCAAGAAUAUAGAAAACCACAUGUCAGAUUCUCACAAAGGGUUCAUAAAGGGUUCUAGUUUAGUAUAUAGUAAUAGAUUUGCUCCGUAUUCGUUCGUGGACGUAGGCCGUUGACCGAACCACAUAAAUAUCGGUGUGCCCUUUCUUCUUUUCUUUUCGUUUCUUGCAUUAAAUUAUUUUCUGCUUCUAUUUUUCGUCGUUCCGAUUUUAACAGAAAGUGUCCUUUGUAUAAAGGACAAUAUUUGAUACUUAUUUUAUUUAUUUUUUUG